GAAACCGGAGCUAAUACCGGAUAAUAUAUUGAACCGCAUGGUUCAAUAGUGAAAGACGGUUUUGCUGUCACUUAUAGAUGGAUCCGCGCCGCAUUAGCUAGUUGGUAAGGUAACGGCUUACCAAGGCAACGAUGCGUAGCCGACCUGAGAGGGUGAUCGGCCACACUGGAACUGAGACACGGUCCAGACUCCUACGGGAGGCAGCAGUAGGGAAUCUUCCGCAAUGGGCGAAAGCCUGACGGAGCAACGCCGCGUGAGUGAUGAAGGUCUUCGGAUCGUAAAACUCUGUUAUUAGGGAAGAACAAAUGUGUAAGUAACUAUGCACGUCUUGACGGUACCUAAUCAGAAAGCCACGGCUAACUACGUGCCAGCAGCCGCGGUAAUACGUAGGUGGCAAGCGUUAUCCGGAAUUAUUGGGCGUAAAGCGCGCGUAGGCGGUUUUUUAAGUCUGAUGUGAAAGCCCACGGCUCAACCGUGGAGGGUCAUUGGAAACUGGAAAACUUGAGUGCAGAAGAGGAAAGUGGAAUUCCAUGUGUAGCGGUGAAAUGCGCAGAGAUAUGGAGGAACACCAGUGGCGAAGGCGACUUUCUGGUCUGUAACUGACGCUGAUGUGCGAAAGCGUGGGGAUCAAACAGGAUUAGAUACCCUGGUAGUCCACGCCGUAAACGAUGAGUGCUAAGUGUUAGGGGGGUUUCCGCCCCUUAGUGCUGCAGCUAACGCAUUAAGCACUCCGC
This 734-nucleotide ribosomal RNA is filed under the name Staphylococcus epidermidis. RNAcentral describes it as "bacterial SSU rRNA". It matches the Rfam family "Bacterial small subunit ribosomal RNA", at positions 153 to 872 of the family's 1533-position model. Lineage: Bacteria; Bacillati; Bacillota; Bacilli; Caryophanales; Staphylococcaceae. The record is from RNAcentral.